UGGGGAAUAUUGGACAAUGGGGGCAACCCUGAUCCAGCCAUGCCGCGUGUGUGAAGAAGGCCUUUUGGUUGUAAAGCACUUUAAGCAGGGAGGAGAGGCUAAUGGUUAAUACCCAUUAGAUUAGACGUUACCUGCAGAAUAAGCACCGGCUAACUCUGUGCCAGCAGCCGCGGUAAUACAGAGGGUGCGAGCGUUAAUCGGAAUUACUGGGCGUAAAGCGAGUGUAGGUGGCUCAUUAAGUCACAUGUGAAAUCCCCGGGCUUAACCUGGGAACUGCAUGUGAUACUGGUGGUGCUAGAAUAUGUGAGAGGGAAGUAGAAUUCCAGGUGUAGCGGUGAAAUGCGUAGAGAUCUGGAGGAAUACCGAUGGCGAAGGCAGCUUCCUGGCAUAAUAUUGACACUGAGAUUCGAAAGCGUGGGUAGCAAACAGGAUUAGAUACCCUGGUAGUCCACGCCGUAAACGAUGUCUACUAGCCGUUGGGGUCCUUGAGACUUUAGUGGCGCAGUUAACGCGAUAAGUAGACCGCCUGGGGGAGUACGGCCGCAAGGUU
Molecule: ribosomal RNA, 550 nt
Filed under: uncultured bacterium
Lineage: Bacteria
Description: partial 16S ribosomal RNA
Rfam family: Bacterial small subunit ribosomal RNA
Source: RNAcentral